GACGAACGCUGGCGGCGUGCUUAACACAUGCAAGUCGAACGGAAAGGCCCUGCUUUUGUGGGGUUCUCGAGUGGCGAACGGGUGAGUAACACGUGAGUAACCUGCCCUUGACUUUGGGAUAACUUCAGGAAACUGGGGCUAAUACCGGAUAGGAGCUCCUGCUGCAUGGUGGGGGUUGGAAAGUUUCGGCGGUUGGGGAUGUACUCGCGGCUUAUCAGCUUGUUGGUGGGGUAGUGGCUUACCAAGCCUUUGACGGAUAGCCUGCCUGGGAGGGUGAACGGCGACAUUGCGCCUACGGUAGGGACCAGACUCCAACGGGAGGCAGCAGUGGGGAGUAUUGCACAAUGGGCGGAAGCCUGAUGCGGAAACGCCGGGAGCGGGAUGACGGCCUUCGGGUGGUAAACCGCUUUCGACUGUGACGAAGCGUGAGUGACGGUACUGGGUAAAGAAGCACCGGCUAACUACGUG
This 468-nucleotide ribosomal RNA is filed under the name uncultured bacterium. RNAcentral's name for it is "partial 16S ribosomal RNA". It matches the Rfam family "Bacterial small subunit ribosomal RNA", at positions 28 to 507 of the family's 1533-position model. The record is from RNAcentral.